Molecule: long non-coding RNA, 208 nt
Filed under: Gossypium raimondii (Peruvian cotton)
Lineage: Eukaryota; Viridiplantae; Streptophyta; Magnoliopsida; Malvales; Malvaceae
Description: long non-coding RNA (GRAI_LNC001863)
Source: RNAcentral
GGGGGUUUUAUAGUUUUUUUUUUUUACUGUUGGACCCCCCAACGGUCAAAAUUUUAAAUGACUGUUGGGGGUCAAAAACACGGGCUAAAACUCGUCCCUGAGCGACGUUUUGCCAUGUCAGCAAAGCACGUCCACGUCAGUGCAUUUUUUGCUGACAUGGCAAAAUCGCUCCCUCAGGGUUGCGUUUUGCUGAAAUUUUCCCUUAAAA